GUGUCAGCCGCCGCGGUAAUACAGAGGUCCCAAGCGUUGUUCGGAUUCACUGGGCGUAAAGGGUGCGUAGGUGGUCAAGAAAGUUUGAUGUGAAAUCUCCGGGCUUAACCCGGAAACUGCAUUGAAAACUGCUUGGCUUGAGGAUUGGAGGGGGGACUGGAAUUCUCGGUGUAGCAGUGAAAUGCGUAGAUAUCGAGAGGAACACCAGUGGCGAAGGCGAGUCCCUGGACAAUACCUGACACUGAGGCACGAAAGCUAGGGGAGCAAACAGGAUUAGAAACCCUGGUAGUCC
RNAcentral lists this ribosomal RNA (292 nucleotides) under uncultured bacterium. RNAcentral describes it as "partial 16S ribosomal RNA". It matches the Rfam family "Bacterial small subunit ribosomal RNA", at positions 505 to 796 of the family's 1533-position model. The record is from RNAcentral.